CUGCUGCCUCCCGUAGGAGUUUGGGCCGUGUCUCAGUCCCAAUGUGGCCGUCCACCCUCUCAGGCCGGCUACUGAUCGUCGCCUUGGUGGGCCGUUACCCCGCCAACAAGCUAAUCAGACGCGGGUCCAUCUUACACCACCGGAGUUUUUCACACAAAUCCAUGCGGCUUCGUGCGCUUAUGCGGUAUUAGCACCUAUUUCUAAGUGUUAUCCCCCAGUCGUAAGGCAGGUUACCCACGCGUUACUCACCCGUCCGCCACUAAGUA
Molecule: ribosomal RNA, 266 nt
Filed under: uncultured bacterium
Lineage: Bacteria
Description: partial 16S ribosomal RNA
Source: RNAcentral